ACGCCCCACAAACACUCUGCUCGGCUAGAGGGCUCCCGCGGCUCGGUGAAUAGAAAACCCCCGAUUCCUCUUUUAACCUCCCGCGACACACACACACACACACUGCUCAACUACGGACGGCCUUGAUUGGUUAACCAAUCCUAUCAGUCACCAUUGUGUGGGCGGGACUGACACACGCGCCUCCGGAGCUCAAGAGCAGCACUUUACCGAUUCUGUGCGUGAGAGCAAAGUGAGGAAGAGAGGAAUACGGCAGCAUCUCUUCUUCUUACGGGAGGAACCACAACGAAUCAUUAUCACAGCUAUAGUGCUACGGAGCAGUUACAUCUAAUCUGCGCGCUACAUCUUCUAGGCCACCCCAAGGCGACAAAACCGAAUAAAGGGAGGAAAACGUUAGGGAAGCCUUAUUUACCGAUCGAUACGCACGAGGAGCCCAUAUAUAUACGGAUCUCACAGCAACACGAGGACUGACGAGGCCACCCCCACCUGGAUAACAAACCGCUUAACGGAGAACGGAGAGCUUUCGGUAACGCUAGUAAAGAGAGCGAGAAGACAGGAUGAAUCUCAAGCAUCACCUGGUCCUGACGCUGUGCGCAGUCUACGGGAUCCUGCUAAAAGGGUGCCUUUCAGGUGAAUUUGAGAAGUACCAGUACCACCCACGACUGUGUUUUCUAGCGACAGAGACAUCAAUGUUGCAUUCAAUGGUUGUCAGUCCUGUAGCCAAGCAAGUUCCUUACAAAUAUAAAAAUAUGAAAUAUU
Oncorhynchus keta (chum salmon) is the source of this 756-nucleotide long non-coding RNA. RefSeq lists it as uncharacterized. The record is from RefSeq and is a predicted model, not a curated record. Lineage: Eukaryota; Metazoa; Chordata; Actinopteri; Salmoniformes; Salmonidae. The transcript has 2 exons.